UGAACUCAGAACUUUAUGUGCAUGAAACGCCCUAACCACUCUGCCAUGCGCCCUCCCUAUAUAUAUAUAUAUAUAUAUAUAUAUAUAUAUAUAU
Molecule: long non-coding RNA, 94 nt
Organism: Octopus sinensis (East Asian common octopus)
Lineage: Eukaryota; Metazoa; Mollusca; Cephalopoda; Octopoda; Octopodidae
Exons: 3
Source: RefSeq, a predicted model, not a curated record